CGACCGGCGCACGGGUGCGUAACGCGUAUGCAACCUACCUUUAACAGGGGGAUAACACUGAGAAAUUGGUACUAAUACCCCAUAAUAUCAUAGAAGGCAUCUUUUAUGGUUGAAAAUUCCGAUGGUUAGAGAUGGGCAUGCGUUGUAUUAGCUAGUUGGUGGGGUAACGGCUCACCAAGGCGGCGAUACAUAGGGGGACUGAGAGGUUAACCCCCCACACUGGUACUGAGGCACGGACCAG
Molecule: ribosomal RNA, 241 nt
Filed under: uncultured bacterium
Lineage: Bacteria
Description: partial 16S ribosomal RNA
Rfam family: Bacterial small subunit ribosomal RNA
Source: RNAcentral